UCUGGAAAUCUCAGAAGGUGGUGGUUAUUUUAUUUCCUGCCUGUGUUUCUUUUAACAAAUGAAGUGUCUUUGCAGGAGACUAUUGAGGGAUUUAUUGGAGAAUCUGCUGUUUUACCUUGUUCUUCUGAAGAACAUCCGAUUAAAAUUCAAGACAUAGAAGUGCUGUGGAGACACAACGGCAAGAAUGUGUAUGAGAUUAUUAAUGGUCAAGUCUCUGUGGAAGGACAGGAUCCAGAGUACAAGAACGGAACUGAAAGCUUUCCUGAGGAGUAUCUGAGCGGAAACUUCUCCAUCAAACUCAACAAUCUUCAACACACUGAUAAUGGAAAAUACAAGUGUUACAUCAUGGAGGAAUCAGUAAUCAAGAG
Molecule: long non-coding RNA, 368 nt
Organism: Cyprinus carpio (common carp)
Lineage: Eukaryota; Metazoa; Chordata; Actinopteri; Cypriniformes; Cyprinidae
Exons: 3
Source: RefSeq, a predicted model, not a curated record